Molecule: transfer RNA, 73 nt
Filed under: Camelus bactrianus (Bactrian camel)
Lineage: Eukaryota; Metazoa; Chordata; Mammalia; Artiodactyla; Camelidae
Also listed under: 1 other name
Rfam family: tRNA
About the family: Transfer RNA (tRNA) molecules are approximately 80 nucleotides in length. Their secondary structure includes four short double-helical elements and three loops (D, anti-codon, and T loops). Further hydrogen bonds mediate the characteristic L-shaped molecular structure. tRNAs have two regions of fundamental functional importance: the anti-codon, which is responsible for specific mRNA codon recognition, and the 3' end, to which the tRNAs corresponding amino acid is attached (by aminoacyl-tRNA synthetases). tRNAs cope with the degeneracy of the genetic code in two manners: having more than one tRNA (with a specific anti-codon) for a particular amino acid; and 'wobble' base-pairing, i.e. permitting non-standard base-pairing at the 3rd anti-codon position.
Source: Rfam by way of RNAcentral
GAGGGUACAGCUCAAGUGGUAGAGCAUAUGCUUAGCAUGCAUGAGGUCCUGGGUUCAAUCCCCAGUACCUCCU